CUCUACUAUUAUCUAGUAUUACUAUAUUUUUCCAUUAACAUAAAAAAGCAUAUUCUUUCUCAUUUUUAUUGAAUAAAUAAAAGUAAUAAAUAAGCAAAAUUUUCAUUUUUAUCUAUUUUCAAUUGAAUUUAAAUUGUAAAAAAAAAAACUUCAUAAAAGAUUAGGAAAAGUAAAAGUAUAUGAUAUAGAAACCUAUAAUAUAAAUGAAUACAAAUAAAAACAAACAAAUCGAACCAAACUAUAAAAAGUACUUGUUAUUUUUAAAGUUUAAAGAAACUAUGUAAGGCAAAUAGUACUAAAUAAAAAAAAGGAGCAAUAACGCCCUCUUGUUUUAUCAAGAGGGAAGCUAUUGCUCCUUUUUUAGUUCAAAAACUCCUAUACAAUCAGACCAAAGUC
RNAcentral lists this unclassified non-coding RNA (396 nucleotides) under Helianthus pauciflorus subsp. subrhomboideus. RNAcentral describes it as "partial trnH-psbA intergenic spacer". Lineage: Eukaryota; Viridiplantae; Streptophyta; Magnoliopsida; Asterales; Asteraceae. The record is from RNAcentral.